UACGUCAAAAGCCCCUAAUGAAGCUUUUACUUCUAGCAUCGUGGGCUUAAUUAUUUUGGACUUCUUUCUUUUAUAAUCAUUUUGCCAUGCUAUUUUAAUAUAGAGGUUGCUCUCUACACCUCCCCUUUUCCUUCUUCCACCUCUCCAAUUUUCUUUAAUUUUUUUUAUUACAAAACUAACCUUUUUUUUACCUUUUUUACCCUUGUCUCUAUUUACAGUCUCACCUCCACCUCCCAAGCUUGUAGAUUAUUUACCUUCUCCCCACCACAGUAUCCUUGUAUUCACUCAUCCUCUGCCUUAACCCCUGAAGCUAGUUAUUUCAUGCUUGAAAAGGGUCACUUAUCCUUGGUAAAGAAAACUAGAAAAGACAUUUCGACAAACAUAUUCAUAAGUUGAUUUAUUUAUUUAUUUUUAUGGGUAUCUGUGUCUGUGACCAAAUGUUGUGAAACCAAAUUGAUACAGGUAAUGACUAAUGGGAGGUUUGAAAAUGUAAAGCAUGAGGUUUAAAAGAUUGAACUUUGUUGUCACCCUGAAAAUAAACUUUUGCUUUUACUGAAAAGUAAAAUAAGAAUAGAAAAAACAGAAUAAAGGGUAAAAGAAGAAGACGGGAGGUAGAAGGAGGAAAUGGGAAAGUAGAGAGAGCAUCAACCUUUUAAUAUUUAAUAAAUUAAAAUGUUGACAUCAAAAAGAGUAGCAACUUCCAAAUCAAAAUAUUUUACAAUAUUAUAUUCAAAACUUAUAACAUAAACAUGCAAAGAUAGAGUUAAUAACAACUACAGUAAAAAAUAGU
Molecule: long non-coding RNA, 790 nt
Filed under: Vigna radiata
Lineage: Eukaryota; Viridiplantae; Streptophyta; Magnoliopsida; Fabales; Fabaceae
Description: long non-coding RNA (VRAD_LNC010253)
Source: RNAcentral